GGACCUUGUGUCAAACAGAAACGCAACCGGACACUCUCUUGACGUGAAUAACUCGUCUUCGAAUAGACGUACGCUGGGCGUGGAUCCCUUCCGGUGUCAAAGUCAUCAAAUAAACACAACAAAACAAAUGCAAUUUCUUGGGCUCUUAAAACAAAGCAAUCCAGUAACAAUAUUUUAGGAAGACAUAGAGUCAAUGAGAGCAACAUUGGUCUUGUAAGCUUGAUGUCCACCACUUGGUGACUCCAAUGAUCGUUUUUUUGUGGUCCAAGACAAGCAUGUUGCGCUGAAUCGAAAACCCGAUUUUCCUUGUGAAGAGCCGCGGGCAAAUCACAGUUUUUGUCAUUUUAUAGUCUGCAUUUAAUUAGGUUAUUGAAUUAAUUCCAGCCAUUUUAAUUGGAUGAAACCUUUUUCUUCUUUUUUUUUUCUUUUUAGAAAAAAAUAUUAUCAUAUUAUAGGCAUUUCUUCCAUAUUCGUCUUUCACGUGAGAGUGUUUAAAUGGGCUUCUAAUCUAGGAAUCGUUUUUAUGGUGUCUAUAAUCGGAAUGACCAACUUCAAGUAUUGUCAUAUAGUGUUUUUGAAACAGUAUAUUGAGUGUUAAGGAAAUCUGGAAUCCACUCAUGAUGUAUAAGAAUGUAUUUUGUCUGCAGAUGGUACAUCCCGGUCUCUCUUUCAUUCUCCUCCCUCCUGCCAUCAGUGCCUUCCAUCUCUGCGUCAUCUCAUUUUCCUAUGUUAAGGGAAUUGUGAAACCCGGUGACGGCUGUGCACCUUCCAUCGUUCUUCGUUCUAGUGAUUGCUGGGAAGCUGCAGGGGAGUGAAGCAGCACGGAGCUGACCUUAUAAAGCCUCCGCCCGACGAGACCGCACCUCCGUCCCAGAGUCCAUGGAAGCCAAGGCCAAGUCGGCUCCCUUGCCCAAAGGGCUAUCAAAAGCAGAGAAAAAGGAGCCAGCAGCCCCACGCAAAGCUGAAGCUGCCCCUGCAACGCCAGAGCCAGAGAUUCCUCCUGCCCAGGAUGGGGCAGCAGAAGGCGACGUAGGUGACGGGGCCGCGGCCGGCUGCACAGACUCUCUGGAGCGCCUGAAACCUUUCCUCAUUGGUGGGGCUGUAAUCGCAGUUGGAGCCAUUUUGCUGGGGGCGAUGCUACUCGCAAGGAGAAAUUAAACUCACAAUCUCAAAAAUUUGCUCCAUGUAAGAUUGGUUCACAAAUAAUUACGGUUGAUAUUGAAAAUGGGGAGGUUUUUUUCUUUUUUUUUUUUUUUUGGCAAGCAAACUUAAACAACUCAAAAUAAGUUUUAUUACAAACAGUAUAUGCAUGAUAUUAGAAUUUACAAUCUGUUGAAACGACACAAUAGGGCUGAGUGUAUAAGACAAAACUCUCUUGGGUAGCUUUCAUAUCUGCUUUAUAUUAUUUGCUCAAAUGUUGACAAAAACCCACAAUAUUUGCGUUGUAAAAGACCUACGUUCAAUUUACAAAGAGCUCCAGAAAAUGUUACUCCUGGACUGAAAAAUAAUAUAAUUUAACUAUCACAGAUUCUAGGAUUUAUUUGACUUUUUUUUUUUUUUUUAUAAUCAAAGAGCAGACAUGGAAAAAUGUAAUGUUAAAUGAUCAUAAGACAAAAUACUAAAGGAUUCAGCAUGCUGAGGUGUACAAAUGGCCUGUGCGGGAAUAUUUGCGUUACAGCGCGAAAACGGCAGCCUAGUAUUGCGGAGUUAUUUCUUGAUGUAGAAUAAGACAGAUUUAUUAUUAUUAUUAUUAUUUUUGUGUUACUGUCAAAUGAUGUCACAAAUCAAUAGCCUUUCAUGUAUAACACAACAUCUGCAAAGGUUCUGCAUCAAUAUGUUCACUGUUACCGUAAAUACUUUGUUGUAGACUGGCAGACCAGUCAUUAGUGGUUCGGUAUCAAGUUCAGUAGCUGCAGUUGAAUCGGGCUUUAUUCCGCUGUGCUUUGCUCCCUCUGUAUUCCAUCAAGAACAACCCUUGUUUUCAGUACCUUAUUAAUAACUAAGUAUAGAUAGGCCCAUUUAGAGUGCUAAUGUAAUGGAAGUGGAUUAGUCAAGCAGUCAUUAUUUUAUGUCUGCACACAUUGCACCCUCGCAUGUAAAAAACAAAAACAAAACAAAACACCACCACCGCUUUGCAAGUGACUAUGUUUGCAACAUAUUUGUCAUCAUAAAUGCUGUAUGUGUGUACAUCGAUGCAUUCUACACCCCUAACACAUCCAAACAACACAAUGCCAAAACUAGAAGUAACUUCACCCGACAUUGUACAAAUCAGUGUACCAAAAAAAAAAAAAAAAAAAAAAAAGUCUUCUUUUAAUAACUCAAUAACAGCAGCGUAUAAAUGCAAUAAUUCAGAUAGGAUUCCUCAGUUAGCACAUUAUGUUGUGCUGUAGCAAGUUAUUUCACAUAAAUAAUGAUGUAAUAAUAACACUAGUGAUGGUCAAAUGUGAUGUUUAAUAAAAUGAAAAUGAUGUUAGAGGAGAUAGAAAGUAUGCAUUUAUGGUGACUAUAAUUAUAAUGAUGGUUAUGAUAUAUUUUUGAUAUAUAACAAAGUAUUGGGUACUACCCUCUCCCCCCAGUGUAUACACAGAAUGUGGUUGUGAUGCGACCUUUAUUAAAGGCAGUGAACCAAC
Molecule: long non-coding RNA, 2630 nt
Organism: Phyllopteryx taeniolatus (common seadragon)
Lineage: Eukaryota; Metazoa; Chordata; Actinopteri; Syngnathiformes; Syngnathidae
Exons: 3
Source: RefSeq, a predicted model, not a curated record